CGGCAAUAGCCUAAAACUCAAAGGACUUGGCGGUGCUUUAUAUCCCUCUAGAGGAGCCUGUUCUAURAUCGAUAAACCCCGAUAAACCUCACCAAUCCUUGCUAAUACAGUCUAUAUACCGCCAUCUUCAGCAAACCCUAAAAAGGAACAAAAGUAAGCACAACAAUAAUACAUUAAAACGUUAGGUCAAGGUGUAACCUAUGGGUUGGGAAGAAAUGGGCUACAUUUUCUAUUUAAAGAA
This 241-nucleotide ribosomal RNA is filed under the name Raphicerus sharpei (Sharpe's grysbok). Its description in RNAcentral is "partial 12S ribosomal RNA". The record is from RNAcentral. Lineage: Eukaryota; Metazoa; Chordata; Mammalia; Artiodactyla; Bovidae.